AGUUUGGUGUUUGCCUUCCAGUUCUUUGUGGGUGCAAGUGACCUCAUCCAAAGUCAGGUCCAUUUUAAGGUCAGCAUCUACCUGACCGUGUCGGGAACAGUGGGAUCAGCAGCACUGGGUUUCUUACUGCUGCUGUGCUACAACAGAAAGCAUAAUAGUGACUCCCUCAUGUGGAUGGUGGUGGUAGGGACAUACGUGUUCCUGGUUGGCUGGUUAUGUCUCGGCUUUUACUGGGUGUUCUCUGAAGAAAAGCACACAGAUAAUGUCUACAAUACAGCAAGAUGGUCCAUUACUUGUUUGUGUCUACAUUUCAGCAUUACUCCUUGCUUAAUGGCCUG
Long non-coding RNA from Megalops cyprinoides (Indo-Pacific tarpon), 338 nucleotides. RefSeq lists it as uncharacterized. NCBI's taxonomy places the organism in Eukaryota, Metazoa, Chordata, Actinopteri, Elopiformes, Megalopidae. The record is from RefSeq and is a predicted model, not a curated record. The transcript has 3 exons.